Long non-coding RNA from Aedes aegypti (yellow fever mosquito), 1422 nucleotides. RefSeq lists it as uncharacterized. Lineage: Eukaryota; Metazoa; Arthropoda; Insecta; Diptera; Culicidae. The transcript is spliced from 2 exons. The record is from RefSeq and is a predicted model, not a curated record.
AGUGGUGAGAGACGCGGCGCGUGAAAGUUCGAAUUCGUGAUUUUGGUUUGUUUGGUUUUUAUUCCAAAUAAAUAAUCUGUAAAGUUAGUUUGUUAUUACGUAACUUAGUUUACAACGCAGAAUGUAUUAGCUAAAAUAUUGAUUUCUAUCGUUCCGAAUAUGAUCGUAACUAGUGUGCAUUUGAAGCUGUUAACAGGCAAGCUGUCGAUGACUUCCGAAUGGCGUUCAGAUAACUCCGACGGAAGUUCCGGCAUAUUGGAUCAGACCCUCUAAAAAUAUAAAAGACGAUUUGUUCCACAAAGUCAGUGAUAUUAAUUAUGGACGACAAAUUAAACGGUUCAACGAUUCAAUUUCGGAAGGACCUACACGGGCUGAUUUUCUCAAGCUACUUCAAGAGUUGAAACAAGAGGGAUCAAAUGCUGCUGUCCUGCGAAAGUUUUGUGACCAUCAUGGGUUUAUGUGUAAUCAAUGCGAAGAAAAUCAUGUACCUGAUAACAUAUUCUUAAAUCAGAACAUCCUCAUUCAAGGAAUAUUUAAACCACAUUACGAGGGUGCAAGCUUGGAGGAAUUGAGGGAAAUCGGAAGGAGAAUAGUAUUCAGCCCAUCGGAAAUUGAAUCUGUUGAGAAAUUAACACGUGACCAAAGUUUCAACCCGUUCUGGCAUUAUGUACGAAUCGGUCGAGUGACUGCGUCUAUCAUGAAAGAGUUUGUAAAUGCUUCUAUCGAAUCUCCUCCUCCAAAACUUUCCUUAUUAAAAAAAAUAUGUCAUCCGUACUUGUGCAACUUCGACACGCCUGCGCUUUCCUACGGUCGCAGCAAUGAGACUAAAGGAAAAGAAUACGUAAAAAAUGUAUACAAGGAUCAUAUUAAUGUAGAAUUCCUAGAAUGUGGCAUAUUCCUGAACAGCGAAAAACCGUUUGUAGCAGCAUCGCCAGACAUGAUUGUAACAUGUGACUGCUGCGGACGAAUAACUGUUGAAAUCAAGUGUCCGUUUAGGCUAAGAAAAAGUGAUUUAAAUAAGCAGCUUUCCUUAAUGGAACUAGCUGGUACAAGAGACCCGUUUAUAAAAGUAGAAGGUGAUGCAUUCGUACUAGUUAGAUCGCAUAGUUACUACUAUCAGUUACAAACGCAAAUAUUUGUAACAAAUUCUGAUUUCGGUUUGUUUGUUGUGUGGAGUAGAAACGAGCAAGUUCACAUCAUUGUACAAAAGGAUGUUUCAGUUUGGUUGCGAUGUAUGUUAAAAUGUGAACAAUAUUUUCGUAGAAUCAUUUGUCCAGAGCUUCUUGGAAACUACUACUCCAAUUCCAUUUCAUUGUUACAUUGGAGAACGCGUUAACUUGUCCAUCUUGACUCAAGCAUGUAAUAAAACACAUUUUAUUUCAAUAAAUAAUUCAUUUUAUUGAAAGGUCCUCUUAUAACAAA